AUGGCGGCGGCGGCGGCGCUCGCGGUCACGGACGAGCUGGCCCUGCCGCUUCGCGCGGUGGGGUGCCUGGCGGCGGCCGCCGGGGUCUCGCGGGAGGAGGUCGUCGUCAUCACACAGUGCGCCUCGCCCGGUGGGAAGUUUCCUUUUGAUGAUGCAUCCGUUGGUGCUGUCCUGUCUGUCAUUAAAAAUGUGGAGAGCUUCGGGGAGCAGUUGGUUGCUGAAAUUAGCCGAGUGCUGAAAGCUGGUGGAAUUGUGCUGGUACAGAGCUUCACACCCUCCUCUGAUCAGAAGCUAAACAAUUAUAUCGAGCGCCAACUACUCAUGGGCGGUUUUGUUGAAGUGAACGCUUCUGCUACAAGCUCACAGGAUGGCGUGCAGUCUGUUACUAUCAAGGCAAAGAAGCCAUCUUGGAGUAUGGGUUCUUCCUUCCCCCUGAGAAAAGCAAUAAAGGCUCUUCCAAAGAUUGAAAUCGAUGACGACGAUGAACUGAUUGAUGAAGACAGCCUCUUGACCGAGGAAGACUUGAAGAAACCACAGCUUCCAGUUGGCAGGGCUGAGGCUGAGCAGAAGAUGGAGAAGCUGGGGCUGACUGCAGAACAGAUCGAUAACCCCGUGUCAGCUUGUGGCAGUUGUGGGUUGGGCGAUGCGUUCCGUUGCAGCACUUGCCCAUACAGAGGCCUGGCACCGUUUAAGUUGGGAGAGAAGGUCACCUUGUCUGACAACUUCCUUUUGGUCGACAUAUGA
RNAcentral lists this ribosomal RNA (744 nucleotides) under Triticum aestivum (bread wheat). Its description in RNAcentral is "partial small subunit ribosomal RNA". The record is from RNAcentral. Lineage: Eukaryota; Viridiplantae; Streptophyta; Magnoliopsida; Poales; Poaceae.